GGCGAAGGCGCAGCGAAAGCGAGUCUGAACAGGGCGUUCAGUCCGCUGCUUUAGACCCGAAACCAGGUGAUCUAGCCAUGCGCAGGAUGAAGGUGCGGUAACACGCACUGGAGGUCCGAACCAGUGCCCGUUGAAAAGGUCUUGGAUGACGUGUGGUUAGGGGUGAAAGGCCAAUCAAACCUGGACAUAGCUGGUUCUCCGCGAAAGCUAUUUAGGUAGCGCCUCGAAUGAAUACCGUGCGGGGUAGAGCACUGGAUGGGCUAGGGCCGCCCACAGCGGUACCGCACUCAACCAAACUCCGAAUACGCACGAGUACUGUUCGGGAGACACACGGCGGGUGCUAACGUCCGUCGUGAAGAGGGCAACAACCCUGACCGACAGCUAAGGCCCCCAAUUCGUGGCUAAGUGGGAAAGGAUGUGGGACUCCCAAAACAACCAGGAGGUUGGCUUAGAAGCAGCCAUCCUUUAAAGAAAGCGUAACAGCUCACUGGUCUAGCCAAGGGGUCCUGCGCCGAAAAUGUAACGGGGCUCAAGCCACGAGCCGAAGCUUCGGGUGCACGCAAGUGCGCGGUAGCGGAGCGUUCCCUAGGCUGAUGAAGGGAUACUCGUGAGAGAUCCUGGAGGUAUGGGAAGUGCGAAUGCUGACAUGAGUAACGACAAAGAGUGUGAAAGACACUCUCGCCGAAAGUCCAAGGGUUCCUGCGUAAAGUUAAUCUGCGCAGGGUCAGCCGGCCCCUAAGGCGAGGCCGAAAGGCGUAGUCGAUGGGAAUGGGGCGAAUAUUCCCCAGCCAGUGGAUGGUGACGGAUGCCGUAUAUCGUUCGAGCUUAUCGGAUUGCUCGGGCGGUGAAGGGGUCCCAGGAAACAGCCUCCACAUCAGACCGUACCCGAAACCGACACAGGUGGACUGGUAGAGCAUACCAAGGCGCUUG
This 930-nucleotide ribosomal RNA is filed under the name Methylobacterium frigidaeris. RNAcentral's name for it is "partial 23S ribosomal RNA". It matches the Rfam family "Bacterial large subunit ribosomal RNA", at positions 659 to 1692 of the family's 2925-position model. The record is from RNAcentral. Lineage: Bacteria; Pseudomonadati; Pseudomonadota; Alphaproteobacteria; Hyphomicrobiales; Methylobacteriaceae.